CACCGGGUUGAUAACUGGAUGGAUUGAUCGGUGCUCAGUCCCUUUCUGUCUUUUAAGUAUCCGGAAGAAUAAAGUUUAGGAAAUGCUUCUUACACGGUUUCGACAUGCUUAUUUUUUUUUAGGUAUGGUUGUCCCAACCGUUUACUUUUCCUCGACAUCU
This 160-nucleotide small nucleolar RNA is filed under the name Hyphopichia burtonii NRRL Y-1933. The record is from RNAcentral. Lineage: Eukaryota; Fungi; Ascomycota; Pichiomycetes; Serinales; Debaryomycetaceae.